UACGUAGGUGGCGAGCGUUGUCCGGAUUUACUGGGCGUAAAGGGAGCGUAGGCGGACUUUUAAGUGAGAUGUGAAAUACUCGGGCUCAACUUGAGUGCUGCGUUUCAAACUGGAAGUCUAGAGUGCAGGAGAGGAGAAUGGAAUUCCUAGUGUAGCGGUGAAAUGCGCAGAGAUUAGGAAGAACACCAGUGGCGAAGGCGAUUCUCUGGACUGUAACUGACGCUGAGGCUCGAAAGCGUGGGGAGCAAACAGG
Molecule: ribosomal RNA, 253 nt
Filed under: uncultured bacterium
Lineage: Bacteria
Description: partial 16S ribosomal RNA
Rfam family: Bacterial small subunit ribosomal RNA
Source: RNAcentral